UUGGUCCUAACGACUCUGAAUCCAUUCAGCAUCAGUCAACUUGGGAUUUGAGGGUGCUAUUAUUCUUUUGUUUCUUUUUUUUUUUUUUGAUUUUGAUUUUGCUUUUGAGUUUUCACCCUCCUCUUUUUUUUUUUAUUACAUUUGUAAUGCCAUGUUGGACUGUUUUGCUGAUUCUCGAGAUGCAGCUGAGUGAUCUUCU
This 199-nucleotide long non-coding RNA is filed under the name Lathyrus oleraceus (garden pea). RNAcentral's name for it is "Pisum sativum (pea) long non-coding RNA (PSAT_LNC008207)". The record is from RNAcentral. Lineage: Eukaryota; Viridiplantae; Streptophyta; Magnoliopsida; Fabales; Fabaceae.